UGGGGGAUAUUGCACAAUGGGCGAAAGCCUGAUGCAGCGACGCCGCGUGGGGGAUGAAGGCCUUCGGGUUGUAAACUUCUUUUGCUCUGAACAAGGCAUGCCUUUGGGGUGUGUCGCGUGUAGGGGUCGAUUAGCGCCGGCUAACUACGUGCCAGCAGCCGCGGUAAUACGUAGGGCGCGAGCGUUGUCCGGAAUUAUUGGGCGUAAAGGGCUUGUAGGUGGCUGGUUGCGUCUGUCGUGAAAGCUCAUGGCUUAACUGUGGGUUUGCGGUGGGUACGGGCUGGCUUGAGUGCAGUAGGGGAGGCUGGAAUUCCUGGUGUAGCGGUGGAAUGCGCAGAUAUCAGGAGGAAUACCGGUGGCGAAGACGGGUCUCUGGGCUGUUACUGACGCUGAGGAGCGAAAGCGUGGGGAGCGAACAGG
RNAcentral lists this ribosomal RNA (420 nucleotides) under Fusobacteriota bacterium. RNAcentral's name for it is "Fusobacteria bacterium partial 16S ribosomal RNA". It matches the Rfam family "Bacterial small subunit ribosomal RNA", at positions 355 to 776 of the family's 1533-position model. The record is from RNAcentral. Lineage: Bacteria; Fusobacteriati; Fusobacteriota.